CCCUAUGGGGCGCACCAGGCCGAGCACCUCGCUUUCGUGAACCACGACGAUGGAUUCCAGGUUCGGCGUUGAGGUGAAGAGCGCCCCGACCUCCAGCACCUUGGCCUCGGCCUGCACGGAGAUGACCGGCCGCACCAGCAUCUCCACCGCCGGCGACUCGUCCUGCUCGCUGGGGCGCGGCUCUUUGCGGAACAGCUUGGAGGCAAUGGAGAACGGCGGCACCUCCACCGGCCGGCCGAAGUAAUAGCCCUGCAACAUGUCCACCCCGGGCUUGCGCAGGGUGGCGUACUCCCCCUCGGUUUCCACACCCUCGGUGAUCACCCGGCACCCCAAGGCGGUGGCGGUUUUCAGGAUCGUGGAGACGAACUGCUGCUUGGUGCGGUCCUGGUCGACCCCAUGGAUGAAUUGGCGGGGGAGC
Molecule: ribosomal RNA, 418 nt
Filed under: uncultured prokaryote
Description: partial 16S ribosomal RNA
Source: RNAcentral